Molecule: ribosomal RNA, 468 nt
Filed under: uncultured bacterium
Lineage: Bacteria
Description: partial 16S ribosomal RNA
Rfam family: Bacterial small subunit ribosomal RNA
Source: RNAcentral
GACGAACGCUGGCGGCGUGCUUAACACAUGCAAGUCGAACGGAAAGGCCCUGCUUUUGUGGGGUGCUCGAGUGGCGAACGGGUGAGUAACACGUGAGUAACCUGCCCUUGACUUUGGGAUAACUUCAGGAAACUGGGGCUAAUACCGGAUAGGAGCUCCUGCUGCAUGGUGGGGGUUGGAAAGUUUCGGCGGUUGGGGAUGGACUCGCGGCUUAUCAGCUUGUUGGUGGGGUAGUGGCUUACCAAGGCUUUGACGGGUAGCCGGCCUGAGAGGGUGACCGGCCACAUUGGGACUGAGAUACGGCCCAGACUCCUACGGGAGGCAGCAGGCGGGAAUAUUGCACAAUGGGCGGAAGCCUGAUGCAGCAACGCCGCGUGCGGGAUGACGGCCUUCGGGUUGUAAACAGCUUUCGCCUGUGACGAAGCGUGAGUGACGGUAAUGGGUAAAGAAGCACCGGCUAACUACGUG